Pocillopora verrucosa is the source of this 489-nucleotide non-coding RNA. Lineage: Eukaryota; Metazoa; Cnidaria; Anthozoa; Scleractinia; Pocilloporidae. The record is from RefSeq and is a predicted model, not a curated record.
CCUAAUUGACAUGAAUUCAGAAUUGUGACCACAAAUAGAUCAGGCAUAUUUCUCCUCAGUGGACAGCACGUUGAAAAUCGACCUCUACGAAAGGGGGUUUUUGGUGUCUUACACGAAUUUUUGUCUAAUCUGGUUUAGCGAUUGAUGAGUUAACUACUUGAAUACCCGCCGAAAAGAAAUUUAUAUUCACAAUUGGAAAGCUAUAAAGACGGAAAUUCUGCGUAAGACCUGUUACGUAAAUUGGGAAAGUUUCGGUUCAAAAGAGGGAGAAAACACAAGAUGGAUGUUUCAAGUCGCCGAUUCUGAAUCCACACGCGAUUCAUUGCGAAUUUCUCUAGUGAUUACCACCAAAAUAAAUGUAAAAAGGCAUAACAAAGAGGAAACCUUCGGAUGGUAGGAAUUUCAUUUGUAAACAAGGAAACCUACGGCAGCUGAAAGGAUUCGGGGGAAAAGCGAGAAAGACAAGACAGAUUUCUAAGGAUUUUAAAG